UUUUUUUGUUAUUAUUAUUGAUUAGGCUCCAUAUCCAUCUGUUGAUACACUCUACAUGGAAGGAUACUGGCAAUCAGAACAGUUUUGUACUGAGGGUAUAUUAAACCACCUUUAGACAGUAAAGCUUGACUGGUUUGAAGGAAGUGAUAGUGAACUAGACCUGUGCAACUUAUCAUUUGCUAGAUAACGAAAUGCAGGUAUGCUACCAUAUUUUGCAUUUUGAAACAAGAUGUUCAAUCUUUUGUUUUAUGAAUUGAGUUGAUAUGUUCAAUUAAGAAGUGAUUUGUUAUGCUUGUCAGGCCACACAUAUUUACUUUUCCUUUUGGUAAUAUAUUACCAAUAUGGUUAAGCAUUCCAGGUCUUAUUUAACAUUUGUUCAGUUUCUUUUUUCACUUCAUAUAGUAGUGUCUACUACUUUUUAUUUUUAUUUUGCUAGCAAAUAGGUCAAGAUUUGAGCACAAGGUCGCCGUGAUAGUUGGUGUAAAAUCAACCUAAAUUAAUUAGGUUAGUCUUUAGAUAUAUAGUGAGUAAAACAUUGAUUGUGCUGCAGAAUGUGGUCUCACCAUAUCUGAACUGUUGCGAAUAUAGGUAUAUGUUGUCUUCUUUACUAUUAGUAAAGUCUUAAUCCAUAUCUACACCUUGCGUCCUUUUGAACAUAUCUUAGUUUUUCACCAUUGAUCGGUAUUUUAAAUCAUUUCUACCUGCUUCAUUUUUACAGCCUGAUUUCGAUUCUGGGAUGUAUGCUACCUAAAACCAAGUCAAUCUCCAAAAUCUUUGCAUGAAAUUUGUGGCAAGAGAAGUGUUGCUAAAUUACUUGCAUGUUUUAGUCAUCUGAUGAACAUAAUAUACUUCUAAUUAGUUUUGUUUUGGUCUUUAUUUAUUAGGAUCUGAAGAUUUGACUGCUUUGGGGGGUUUUCUUUAAAGCAGCUUGGUACAUUUGAGUCUAAGUUUCUUGCAGAAAGUGACUGAAUAAAACCUUGCUGUUAGAUGGUCACUAGAGAAUCUAAAUGUCUUUAGUCUUGGGGACCAUGAAGAUCAGGUAUGCAGAAGGAUUGCUAGAGAGAAGUUCGCCAAAAGGCGGCUGAAUACCAUUCUCCUCAAUCAGUGAAGUUCAGUUUGUUAGGUGGAUACCACAAUUUGAUGUAAACUUUGUUCCUAAAUUUGUUUCCUCAGAAUCUCUACCUUGUGGGCUGUGGCUUGUAAUAUUGUAGCUUAAUCCUGCAAACAAAGUCUUGCAUUCUUCCUCAUUUUAAUGAUGUUUUGUGUUAUGAUGUAAAAGUGAAAGCAUUCACCAUUUUCUGGAAAA
RNAcentral lists this long non-coding RNA (1306 nucleotides) under Aquilegia coerulea. Its description in RNAcentral is "long non-coding RNA (ACOE_LNC001484)". The record is from RNAcentral. Lineage: Eukaryota; Viridiplantae; Streptophyta; Magnoliopsida; Ranunculales; Ranunculaceae.